Molecule: ribosomal RNA, 322 nt
Filed under: uncultured Limnofila
Lineage: Eukaryota; Cercozoa; Cercomonadida
Description: SSU rRNA
Rfam family: Eukaryotic small subunit ribosomal RNA (bases 105-322)
Source: RNAcentral
GAUUUCUGGCUUGGUGCGCCUAGCCCGCCACGGUUACGUGUGUGAGUGCCGGGUCGCGCCUGCCAUCCUUCUAGAGAACGAUUCUACCCUUCACUGGGCCGGAGUCGCCAUCUAGAUCUUUUACUUUGAAAAAAUUAGAGUGUUUAAAGCAGGCUUUUGCUAUGAAUACAUUAGCAUGGAAUAAUAAUUUAGGACUUCGGUUCUAUUUUGUUGGUUUCUAGGACUGAAGUAAUGAUUGAUAGGGAUAGUUGGGGGUGCUAGUAUUCAGUGGCCAGAGGUGAAAUUCUCGGAUUCACUGAAGACUAACUUAUGCGAAAGCAUU